This 442-nucleotide ribosomal RNA is filed under the name uncultured bacterium. RNAcentral's name for it is "partial 16S ribosomal RNA". It matches the Rfam family "Bacterial small subunit ribosomal RNA", at positions 338 to 795 of the family's 1533-position model. The record is from RNAcentral.
CCUACGGGGGGCAGCAGUGGGGAAUAUUGGGCAAUGGGCGCAAGCCUGACCCAGCAACGCCGCGUGAAGGAAGAAGGCUCUCGGGUUGUAAACUUCCUUUUACAGGGAAGUGUAGAAGACGGUACCUGUCGAAUAAGCCACGGAUAACUACGUGCCAGCAGCCGCGGUAAUACGGAGGUGGCAAGCGUUGUCCGGAGUUAGUGGGUGUAAAGGGAGCGUAGACGGUUCUGUAAGUCUGAAGUGAAAGCCCGUGGCUUAACCGCGGAACGGCUUUGGAAACUGUGGAACUGGAGUGCUGGAGAGGCAAGCGGAAUUCGUAGUGUAGCGGUGAAAUGCGUAGAUAUUAGGAAGAACACCAGUGGCGAAGGCAGCUUGCUGAACAGUAACUGACGUUGAGGCUCGAAAGCGUGGGGAGCAAACAGGAUUAGAUACCCGAGUAGUC